UUAAUUAGGGAAUUAUUGUUAUUUUUAGUUUGUGUGUAUUUAAUAGAAGUAAUUUUAUUUUUAGUAAUUUUUGUUGAAUGAGUUCUUAAAAUGAUAGUUAAUAGUACUGUGAGGGAAUUUUUUUAUUUUAUUUAAAGUAGUUCUUAUUUAAUGUACCUUUUGUAUCAGGGUUGAUUAAAUUUUUUUAUUUAUUUAUAUUUCCCGAAGUCAGGAGAGAUAAAAUAAUAUGUGAUUCAGUGUUGUAUCAUUGUUUUUAAUAUUAUUUUGGUAAUGAUAUGUUAUUCGUUCUUGAAUAUCUGGUUUUUCUAGAAGUGAAUUGGAUUCUAUCUUGUUUAUGUAAUUAUGUUUAUUUUAUUAUUUAGUUGAUGCAGGUUUAAUAUUGUUGGGGAUAAGCUCAGCAAUAAUAUUAUAACUCUAUUUAUUUUGAAAUUUUGUAGGCCUGAAAACAGUCAUCAUGAAUUCCGUUAUAGGGUAUUUUUUUAUUUGUUUUAUUUUGUAUUGAGUUUAGAUUUUUAUGGAAAUUAAUUAGUUAAUUGUUUCUUUUUUGGGAUAAUGAUUAAAUUAGUAUCAUAUAUAUUUAUAUUAUAGGAAUUCGGCAAAAGUGUAUUCGCCUGUUUAACAAAAACAUGUCCUUUUGAUUAUUUAUUUAAGGUCUAGUCUGCCCAAUGAUGGUUGUGAAUGGCCGCGGUAUUUUAACUGUGCUAAGGUAGCAUAAUCAAUUGUCUCUUAAUUAGGGGCUAGUAUGAAAGGCUGGACGAGAUACAUGCUGUCUUUAAUAUAAUGUGUGAAUUUAAUUUUUUGGUUAAAAAGCCAAAGUUCUUUUAAAGGACGAGAAGACCCUAUAGAUCUUUAUAGGAUUGUUUAUUAGAGAGUUUAGUAAGUUUAAUCUUUUGAUGGUUAAUUUUAUUUUGUUGGGGUGACCGUAGAAUUUUCUUAACUUCUAUUUUUUUAUUUCAUUAAUUUAUGUUUUUGUGAUCCAUUUUUAUUGAUUGUAAGAUUAAGUUACCUUAGGGAUAACAGCGUAAUUUCUUUAGAAAGUUCAUAUUGAUGAAGAAGUUUGCGACCUCGAUGUUGGAUUAAAAUAAGUAGUGUGGUGCAGUAGUCUUUUAACUAGGUCUGUUCGACCUUUAAUUUUUUACAUGAUCUGAGUUCAGACCGGCGUGAGCCAGGUCAGUUUCUAUCCUUAAUUUUUUAUUGUUUUUCAGUACGAAAGGACCGGGAACGGGGAAUAGUUUUUUUUAUUUUGAUUUAUAUU
RNAcentral lists this ribosomal RNA (1255 nucleotides) under Reduvius tenebrosus. RNAcentral describes it as "16S ribosomal RNA". The stretch from base 1013 to 1172 matches the Rfam family "Bacterial large subunit ribosomal RNA", at positions 2473 to 2632 of the family's 2925-position model. Lineage: Eukaryota; Metazoa; Arthropoda; Insecta; Hemiptera; Reduviidae. The record is from RNAcentral.